Molecule: unclassified non-coding RNA, 391 nt
Filed under: soil metagenome
Description: partial contains 5.8S ribosomal RNA, internal transcribed spacer 2, and large subunit ribosomal RNA
Rfam family: 5.8S ribosomal RNA (bases 1-122)
Source: RNAcentral
GAUGAAGAACGUAGCGAAAUGCGAUACUUGGUGUGAAUUGCAGAAUCCCGUGAACCAUCGAAUCUUUGAACGCAAGUUGCGCCCGAAGCCAUUAGGCCGAGGGCACGCCUGCCUGGGCGUCACACGUCGUUGCCCCCCCAUCUACUCCUUCGGGAUUGCGGGGGGCGGAUGAUGGCCUCCCGUGCGCCUCGCCGCGCGGUUGGCAUAAAUGCCAAGUCCUCGGCGACGCACGCCACGACAAUCGGUGGUUGCGAAACCUCGGUUGCCCGUCGUGUGCGGUCGUCGCGCAUCGAGGGCUCGAAAAAAUUGCCGGGUUCCGGCUCGGCUUUCAACGCGACCCCAGGUCAGGCGGGGUUACCCGCUGAAUUUAAGCAUAUCAAUAAGCGGAGGA